GGGCGUCCGAAUUGGGCCCAACUUGCAACACAAUGUUGCGGUUGGUGGCGAGGCAGGUACUGGAGAGGCUGAUCUGUGAGUGUAUUGUCAGCGGGAGCCUGGAUGUUGAUGGCGACGACGAUAGGGCCUUCAAAUUUCGCCCAUUUGGCAGGAAUUGGAUGGCAAAAUUGACGAGGCACCUGCUGGAGAGGCAUCUCUAUCGGAGGCGUGGCAGGUACAUAUGUUUUGUGUGAUUUUAAUGGUUUGACUGGCUCAGGGCACUUUAGAGUGACCUGAAGCUUUAUUUAUUAAUGUUCUUAUUACUAUUGGCAACAUAUAACAUUAUUUAUGGAAACAUUUAACAUUUUUUUAACAUUUAGGUAUUUUUUUUUACUUUACGGUAACAUUGAUAAUAACAGACAGAAAAAUACUAGACAGUUAUCAAUUUGCUCUUGUAAACAAAAGGUAAGUUAAGAUCGGCUUGUGUUUUCUUUUUUCUGGCUUAGGCAUAAAAAUUUUGUGACGCCGCUCCUGGACCCCUCAUCCGGUGCGAAACGGAGGUAUGGACGACAGGGAGACCUCCAAGCAUCGGCAACGCAAGCGCGGCAUCGCCUCGUCCCUCUUUUCCUGGCCGAAUCCAACCGAUGCAGCUCUAAGAAGAACGGCGGCGCAUAUGCUUCUUUCUGUGGAUGAUAUGAAACUCCUGGCUGAUUUUAAUAUUGUUUUAUUUUCAGGUUUAUGUUUUGUAGGUUUGGUGAUCAAGUGUCAGGAAUCCAGUUAGGUUCGAUUGGUCCAUUGGGAGGUUUGCGUUGAGUUUGGUAAGUAAGUCUAUUUGUGCUUUUCCUUUGGUUAAUUUUAGCUACAUUUUAUUUGCAGGCUAAAUUAAUUUAUUUAGAGGUUUGCGUUGAAUUUGGUAAGUCAGUUUAUUUCUGU
Molecule: long non-coding RNA, 912 nt
Organism: Drosophila miranda
Lineage: Eukaryota; Metazoa; Arthropoda; Insecta; Diptera; Drosophilidae
Exons: 3
Source: RefSeq, a predicted model, not a curated record